GUAAAUUUUGGUAAUUGAAGGUAGUCCACGAUAAGGCAGAGAAGCACUUUUCAGGACUGAAAAUCCUUGUGUCGCUGGUUCGAUUCCAGUUCUGGCCA
RNAcentral lists this transfer RNA (98 nucleotides) under Parachlamydiaceae bacterium. Its description in RNAcentral is "tRNA-OTHER". Lineage: Bacteria; Pseudomonadati; Chlamydiota; Chlamydiia; Parachlamydiales; Parachlamydiaceae. The record is from RNAcentral.